UGAGAUAUAUUAUUGUACAUUUAUAUUUACUUUUUCCAUAGGCAAUCAUAAAUGCCCUGGCUGUCUCCUGGCUGGGAUAUCUCCUCACAGGAGGCUGAGCAGGUCUUCCUUUCUGGUCUGGAUUAUCAUUGCAGAGUUGAAGCCAUUCCUGCAGCAACUGGUGGAAAACGGGGGAUCUUUUUGGUGCUUUUGUUCUAGCAUAAAUAAUUUUGUUCUUUCGUAUAAUAUAAAUAAAUACAUAUGUAUAUAUAAAUAAAUUCAUGCUUGAAUCAUUCUCGA
This is a non-coding RNA of Pimephales promelas (fathead minnow), 279 nucleotides long. The record is from RefSeq and is a predicted model, not a curated record. NCBI's taxonomy places the organism in Eukaryota, Metazoa, Chordata, Actinopteri, Cypriniformes, Leuciscidae.